This 65-nucleotide transfer RNA is filed under the name Tympanoctomys barrerae (plains viscacha rat). Its description in RNAcentral is "tRNA-Lys". Lineage: Eukaryota; Metazoa; Chordata; Mammalia; Rodentia; Octodontidae. The record is from RNAcentral.
CAUUAUGAAGCUAUUAGCGUUAACCUUUUAAGUUAAAGAAUGAGAGCUCAUACUCUCCAUAAUGA